This 370-nucleotide ribosomal RNA is filed under the name Reckertia sp. RNAcentral's name for it is "partial small subunit ribosomal RNA". It matches the Rfam family "Eukaryotic small subunit ribosomal RNA", at positions 582 to 975 of the family's 1831-position model. Lineage: Eukaryota; Cercozoa; Imbricatea; Thaumatomonadida; Thaumatomastigidae. The record is from RNAcentral.
AUUCCAGCUCCAGUAGCGUAUAUUAAAGUUGUUGCAGUUAAAAAGCUCGUAGUUGGAUUUCUGAUAGUAGCGUUGCAUGUUCGCUCCUUUCAUCCUUCUAGAGAACGGUUCUCUCCUUCAUUGGCAGUGGGAUCGCAAUCUAGAUCUUUUACUUUGAAAAAAUUAGAGUGUUUAAAGCAGGCUUGUGCUAUGAAUACAUUAGCAUGGAAUAAUAAUUUAGGACUUUAGUUCUAUUUUGUUGGUUUCUAGAACUGAAGUAAUGAUUGAUAGGGAUAGUUGGGGGUGCUAGUAUUCAGCGGCCAGAGGUGAAAUUCUUGGAUUCGCUGAAGACUAACUUAUGCGAAAGCAUUCACCAAGGAUGUCUUCAUUA